Molecule: ribosomal RNA, 1116 nt
Filed under: Crepidostomum sp. 1 VS-2018
Lineage: Eukaryota; Metazoa; Platyhelminthes; Trematoda; Plagiorchiida; Allocreadiidae
Description: LSU rRNA
Rfam family: Eukaryotic large subunit ribosomal RNA
Source: RNAcentral
UGUGGUGUUUAGGUCGUUCCGCAGGGACACUGCUCCUCUCUAAGUCCAUCAAUGAGUACGGUUGUACUGACAUGGCCCAUGGAGGGUGAAAGGCCCGUGAGAGAGGAGUUUUGUUGUGACAGUGUCCCUCUGGAUUGACCUUGGAGUCGGGUUGUUUGGGAAUGCAGCCCUAAGCGGGUGGUAAACUCCAUCCAAGGCUAAAUACAAGCACGAGUCCGAUAGCGAACAAGUACCGUGAGGGAAAGUUGAAAAGUACUUUGAAGAGAGAGUAAACAGUGCGUGAAACCGCUUAGAGGUAAACGGGUGGAGUUGAACUGCAAUCUCUGAGAAUUCAGCUGGGGAAAUUUGCUUGAGCUUGGUCAUUUGGGCAGGGCCUCGAGGUAUGCUUAGCUGCAUGUCCUGAUCUCACGGUCGGGAUGCGCGUUGCUCUUAUCAAGGGUUGCGCGCCUCGGGUGUCCGGCUGGCUCGUUCGCCAGUGCACUUUCUCAGAGUGAUCAUCACGACCGGCGCUGCUGCUGGGCUGUUUUAGUUAAAUCGGACAUUCAUCGUCCUUGUGGCGUUGGGUGGUCGACACGGCAGGUAACUGAGUGCUCGCUUCGGCUUGCUUUCCGGUGUAUGCUGGCUCUAACGGUUCUGUGCGGUGUGUCGGAGACGGCGGCUUGUGGUGUGUGCAUGUGUGCCUAUCUGGUGGCAUAUUCUGGUUUGGUAGCUGUGUGCUUGUUCAAGCAGGCCCAGUUAUAGCUGGAGUGUGUCAUUGGGUGGUUGCGUGUGUGUCACUUUUCAGGGCCAACAGUCUGUGAUGUCGUGGUAGACUAUCCACCUGACCCGUCUUGAAACACGGACCAAGGAGAGUAACAUGUACGCGAGUCAUUGGGCGUAACGAAACCCACAGGCGCAGUGAAAGUAAAGGUCUGGCUUGUCCAGUCUAAGGUGAGAUCCUGUCGUUGCUCAUGCGCGGUACCCCCAAGCUUGGAGCGAUAGGCGCAUCACCGGCCCGUCCCAUGACGUGGUCACAGUCCUCGGAUUGUGCGCCGUCGGGGCGGGGCAUGAGCGUACAUGUUGAGACCCGAAAGAUGGUGAACUAUGCUUGCGCAGGUUGAAGCCAGAGGAAACUCU